This 125-nucleotide non-coding RNA is filed under the name Proteus vulgaris. RNAcentral's name for it is "Moco (molybdenum cofactor) riboswitch". It matches the Rfam family "Molybdenum/Tungsten riboswitch aptamer (Moco RNA motif)", at positions 8 to 125 of the family's 135-position model. The record is from RNAcentral. Lineage: Bacteria; Pseudomonadati; Pseudomonadota; Gammaproteobacteria; Enterobacterales; Morganellaceae.
AUAAACUCCUAGCCUUAACGUCUAAGUCGAGUAUUGACAAGAUAUGAUGUUCUGGCCGUGACAAUAAGUCACCAGGGUGCAAGGUAGAAAUGUCUGCAUCUCCCGAUUUGGAAAGGUGUUAUUAU